RNAcentral lists this ribosomal RNA (706 nucleotides) under uncultured fungus. RNAcentral describes it as "SSU rRNA". It matches the Rfam family "Eukaryotic small subunit ribosomal RNA", at positions 221 to 927 of the family's 1831-position model. Lineage: Eukaryota; Fungi. The record is from RNAcentral.
AUAAACACGCCUUCGGGGCUUCUCUGGUGAUUCAUGAUACUUAACGAAUCGCAUGGCCUUGCGCCGGGAUGGUUCAUUCAAAUUUCUGCCCUAUCAACUUUCGAUGGUAGGAUAGUGGCCUACCAUGGGUAUCAACGGGUAACGGGGAAUUAGGGUUCUAUUCCGGAGAGGGAGCCUGAGAAACGGCUACCACAUCCAAGGAAGGCAGCAGGCGCGCAAAUUACCCAAUCCCGACACGGGGAAGGUAGUGACAAUAAAUACUGAUACAGGGCUCUUUUGGGUCUUGUAAUUGGAAUGAGAACAAUUUAAAUCCCUUAACGAGGAACAAUUGGAGGGCAAGUCUGGUGCCAGCAGCCGCGGUAAUUCCAGCUCCAAUAGCGUAUAUUAAAGUUGUUGCAGUUAAAAAGCUCGUAGUUGAACCUUGGGCCUGGCUGGCCGGUCCGCCUCACCGCGUGCACUGGUCCGGCCGGGCCUUUCCUUCUGGGGAGCCUGCAUGCCCUUCACUGGGUGUGUCGGGGAACCAGGACUUUUACUUUGAAAAAAUUAGAGUGUUCAAAGCAGGCCUUUGCUCGGAUACAUUAGCAUGGAAUACUAGAAUUAGGACGUGCGGUCCUAUCGGUCGGUUCCUAGGACCGCCGUAAUUGAUUAUAGGGAUAGGUCCGAGGGCAUCCAGUAUGCAAUAGUCAGAGGUGAAAUUCCUUGGAUU